AGUCGAACGAUGAUCCCAGCUUGCUGGGGGAUUAGUGGCGAACGGGUGAGUAACACGUGAGUAACCUGCCCUUGACUCUGGGAUAAGCCUGGGAAACCGGGUCUAAUACUGGAUAUGACCUUCUGGCGCAUGCCAUGUUGGUGGAAAGCUUUAUUGCGGUUUUGGAUGGACUCGCGGCCUAUCAGCUUGUUGGUGGGGUAAUGGCCUACCAAGGCGACGACGGGUAGCCGGCCUGAGAGGGUGGACGGCCACACUGGGACUGAGACACGGCCCAGACUCCUACGGGAGGCAGCAGUGGGGAAUAUUGCACAAUGGGCGCAAGCCUGAUGCAGCGACGCCGCGUGGGGGAUGAAGGCCUUCGGGUUGUAAACCUCUUUCAGUAGGGAAGAAGCGAAAGUGACGGUACCUGCAGAAGAAGCGCCGGCUAACUACGUGCCAGCAGCCGCGGUAAUACGUAGGGCGCAAGCGUUAUCCGGAAUUAUUGGGCGUAAAGAGCUCGUAGGCGGUUUGUCGCGUCUGCCGUGAAAGUCCGGGGCUUAACUCCGGAUCUGCGGUGGGUACGGGCAGACUAGAGUGAUGUAGGGGAGACUGGAAUUCCUGGUGUAGCGGUGAAAUGCGCAGAUAUCAGGAGGAACACCGAUGGCGAAGGCAGGUCUCUGGGCAUUAACUGACGCUGAGGAGCGAAAGCAUGGGGAGCGAACAGGAUUAGAUACCCUGGUAGUCCAUGCCGUAAACGUUGGGCACUAGGUGUGGGGGACAUUCCACGUUUUCCGCGCCGUAGCUAACGCAUUAAGUGCCCCGCCUGGGGAGUACGGCCGCAAGGCUAAAACUCAAAGGAAUUGACGGGGGCCCGCACAAGCGGCGGAGCAUGCGGAUUAAUUCGAUGCAACGCGAAGAACCUUACCAAGGCUUGACAUGAACUGGAACAGCGCAGAGAUGUGUUGGCCGCUUGCGGCCGGUUUACAGGUGGUGCAUGGUUGUCGUCAGCUCGUGUCGUGAGAUGUUGGGUUAAGUCCCGCAACGAGCGCAACCCUCGUUCUAUGUUGCCAGCGCGUUAUGGC
This 1061-nucleotide ribosomal RNA is filed under the name Arthrobacter sp. enrichment culture clone HY15. Its description in RNAcentral is "bacterial SSU rRNA". It matches the Rfam family "Bacterial small subunit ribosomal RNA", at positions 60 to 1132 of the family's 1533-position model. Lineage: Bacteria; Bacillati; Actinomycetota; Actinomycetes; Micrococcales; Micrococcaceae. The record is from RNAcentral.